Molecule: long non-coding RNA, 1116 nt
Organism: Clupea harengus (Atlantic herring)
Lineage: Eukaryota; Metazoa; Chordata; Actinopteri; Clupeiformes; Clupeidae
Source: Ensembl
GGAUGUUCCCUGUGUAUCAGACACAUGACCUUGCUGUAGUCCAGCAGCUGGGCACGGUGCUGUUACCUCCUUGGUGUACCAGCUGGGCAUGCUGGGCAUGGUGUCGUUACCUCCUUGGUGUACCAGCUGGGCACGGUGCCGUUACCUCCUUGGUGUAGUCCAGCAGCUGGGCAUAGUGGGCAUGGUGCCGUUACCUCCUUGGUGUACCAGCUGGGCACGCUGGGCACGGUGCUGUUACCUCCUUGGUGUACCAGCUGGGCAUGGUGCUGUUACCUGCUUGGUGUACCAGCUGGGCGUGGUGCUGUUACCUGCUUGGUGUACCAGCUGAGCAACGGGAACACUUUUGCUUUGGUCAAAUGUAUUAAUAGUCAUAAUUCCAAGUCCUCCUGUAUACAAUUUUAUGUACACAUUUAGUUUUAUUGCAAUACUACAGGCAUUGUUGUAAGCAUUUUCUCGUAUAAACAGAUGAUUAACUGAACAGAAAAGAAAGAUAUUAAUGUAAUAGUCAUAAUUCUAAGUCCUCCUGUAUACCGUUUUAUGUACACAUUUAGUUUAAUUGCAGUACUACUGGCAUUGUUGUAAGCAUUUUAAUACUACAGGCAUUCUUGUAAGCAUUUUAAUACUACAGGCAUUGUAAGCAUUGUAAUACUACAGGCAUAGUUGUAAGCAUUUUCUUGUAUAAACAGAUGAUUAACCGAGCAGAAAAGAUAGAUAUUAAUUAAAAUACAUUUUUAUCCAAGUAGAAAUUCAAAUGUGCAUCAAUAAGAAGGAUAGGAUAUGAAGGAUCGAUUCCAAACUUCAGCAGAGCCAUUAGGGAACUUCAGAGUCGGUGCACAGGUUCACAGCGGCGGAGAGGAUACACGGCUCUCAUAUUGACCACGGCACUCAGCAGUCAAUGCUUCUUACUGUCAAUGCGGCCCCAUUGACAAUCGCUUCCCGGCUCGAGCAGGACAGAAAAACGCUCAUUUAAAAUGUAUUGAAACCGCUGAGAGCCUUUCAGAAUAAGAUGAAGAAGAAGAGAGAGAGAAAAAAAAGCACAAAUAGGCUUUAUGGAUUACACAAUCAUAUUGUAAAACAUUUAUAUUGCAACAAAAAGCAUAUUUCAAUUCCAGAGGA